GAUGAACGCUGGCGGCGUGCCUAACACAUGCAAGUCGAACGAAGAAGCCAAGCUUUCUGGGUGGUUUAGUGGCGAACGGGCGGGUAAGACGUGAGUAACUUACCCUUGACUCUGGGUUAAACAAGGGCGACUGGGCGUAGUACAUGCCAGGAACGUUCUUCGAACGGAGGGUGUUGGAGAGAUUUAUCGGUUAUGGAUGGCCUCGCGGCGUAUCAGCUUGUUGGUGGGGAAUUGGCAAACGAAGGCCGCGACGGGUAGCCGGCCUGAGAGGGUGACCGGCCACACGGGGACUGAGACAGGGCCCAGACGCCUACGGGAGGCAGCAGUGGGGAAUAUUACACAAUGGGCGAAAGCCUGUUGCAGCGACGCCGCGUGCGGGAUGACGGCCUUCGGGUUGUAAACCUCUGUCAGUGGGGAAGAAGCGGAAGUGACGGUACCUGCAGAAGAAGCAACGGCUAACUACGUG
This 466-nucleotide ribosomal RNA is filed under the name uncultured bacterium. Its description in RNAcentral is "partial 16S ribosomal RNA". It matches the Rfam family "Bacterial small subunit ribosomal RNA", at positions 28 to 507 of the family's 1533-position model. The record is from RNAcentral.